GAUGAACGCUGGCGGCGUGCCUAAUACAUGCAAGUCGAGCGAACAGAUGAGGAGCUUGCUCCUCUGACGUUAGCGGCGGACGGGUGAGUAACACGUGGAUAACCUACCUAUAAGACUGGGAUAACUUCGGGAAACCGGAGCUAAUACCGGAUAAUAUAUUGAACCGCAUGGUUCAAUAGUGAAAGACGGUUUUGCUGUCACUUAUAGAUGGAUCCGCGCCGCAUUAGCUAGUUGGUAAGGUAACGGCUUACCAAGGCAACGAUGCGUAGCCGACCUGAGAGGGUGAUCGGCCACACUGGAACUGAGACACGGUCCAGACUCCUACGGGAGGCAGCAGUAGGGAAUCUUCCGCAAAGGGCGAAAGCCUGACGGAGCAAAGCCGCGUGAGUGAUGAAGGUCUUCGGAUCGUAAAACUCUGUUAUUAGGGAAGAACAAAUGUGUAAGUAACUAUGCACGUCUUGACGGUACCUAAUCAGAAAGCCACGGCUAACUACGUG
RNAcentral lists this ribosomal RNA (497 nucleotides) under uncultured bacterium. RNAcentral's name for it is "partial 16S ribosomal RNA". It matches the Rfam family "Bacterial small subunit ribosomal RNA", at positions 28 to 507 of the family's 1533-position model. The record is from RNAcentral.